CCUACGGGUGGCAGCAGUGGGGAAUCUUAGCCAAUGGGCGAAAGCCUGAUCUAGCCAUGCCGCGUGAGUGAUGAAGGUCUUAGGAUCGUAAAGCUCUUUCGCUAGGGAUGAUAAUGACAGUACCUAGUAAAGAAGCCCCGGCUAACUCCGUGCCAGCAGCCGCGGUAAUACGGAGGGGGCUAGCGUUGUUCGGAAUUACUGGGCGUAAAGCGUACGUAGGCGGAUCAGAAAGUAUGGGGUGAAAUCCCAGGGCUUAACCCUGGAACUGCCUCAUAAACUCCUGGUCUUGAGUUCGAGAGAGGUGAGUGGAAUUCCAAGUGUAGAGGUGAAAUUCGUAGAUAUUUGGAGGAACACCAGUGGCGAAGGCGGCUCACUGGCUCGAUACUGACGCUGAGGUACGAAAGUGUGGGGAGCAAACAGGAUUAGAUACCCUGGUAG
This 438-nucleotide ribosomal RNA is filed under the name uncultured bacterium. RNAcentral describes it as "bacterial SSU rRNA". It matches the Rfam family "Bacterial small subunit ribosomal RNA", at positions 338 to 793 of the family's 1533-position model. The record is from RNAcentral.